AGGAGGAACAGCCCCAGUGGCGGGGCCAGAUCUGGAAACCUGGAUUCAGCUCCGGCAGGAACUCCUUCUGCAGGGCCUGGAGGCUCCGGGGCGGG
RNAcentral lists this microRNA precursor (95 nucleotides) under Canis lupus dingo (dingo). Its description in RNAcentral is "mir-8834 microRNA precursor family". It matches the Rfam family "mir-8834 microRNA precursor family". Lineage: Eukaryota; Metazoa; Chordata; Mammalia; Carnivora; Canidae. The record is from Rfam by way of RNAcentral.